Molecule: unclassified non-coding RNA, 292 nt
Organism: Aotus nancymaae (Ma's night monkey)
Lineage: Eukaryota; Metazoa; Chordata; Mammalia; Primates; Aotidae
Rfam family: Metazoan signal recognition particle RNA
About the family: The signal recognition particle (SRP) is a universally conserved ribonucleoprotein. It is involved in the co-translational targeting of proteins to membranes. The eukaryotic SRP consists of a 300-nucleotide 7S RNA and six proteins: SRPs 72, 68, 54, 19, 14, and 9.
Source: Ensembl
GCUGGGUGUAGUGGUGCAUGCUUGUAGUUCCAGCUACAAGGCUGUGGCUGGAGGAUGGCUUGAGGCCAGGAGUUCUGGGCUGUAGCGCGCUAUGCCAAUCAGGCGUGUACACUAAGUUCAGCAUCGAUAAGGUGACCUCCCGGGAGUGGAGGACCACCAGGUUGCCUAAGGAAGGACGAACUGGCCGAGGUAGAAAUGAAGCAGGUUAAAACUCCCGUGCUGGUCAGUAGUGGGAUCACACCUGUGUAUAGCUAUGGCACUCCAGCCCGGGCAACACAAUAAGACCCCAUAU